RNAcentral lists this unclassified non-coding RNA (1789 nucleotides) under Camponotus floridanus (Florida carpenter ant). Its description in RNAcentral is "testis-specific serine/threonine-protein kinase 1, transcript variant X1". The record is from RNAcentral. Lineage: Eukaryota; Metazoa; Arthropoda; Insecta; Hymenoptera; Formicidae.
AUUUUUGUAUACGACUGCAUGAUCUUUCUUCUUUAAAUUUCUUACUUUUCUUAUUCGAUGUUUUGUUGUUUUCUAUAUUUGUUACUUCAAUAGAUACACACAGCCGUGCUUUUCGUCGGCACGCGUGUCACUUUACUUACUGUCAAAAUGGUUAAAUGAAUCAACAAAUUCUUCAAAAUUCUAGUAUAAGAUUCGUUAUCGUCAUCAAUAAAAAAACAGUAAUACAAAUAUUUUCGUACUUUGUUAUACUACAUAAUACAUGUGUUAUAAAUUAUAAUGUACAAACAGAAAUUCUGCAUUCUGAAUAUUAUUAUUCGCGUUCGCGAUGUCAUAAUUAAACAUUAAGCAAAGUGAGAGGGAAGUUGCGAAUUAUGGUCUCGAAGGAUAGAAUGCUGUCUAUCGUCUUGCGAAUCUCAUGUCACAUCUGAGCCAGACACCGUCCGAGGAAGCCACAUUGUUAGCCCGAGGUUAUAAGCUGUUAAGAAAACUCGGCGAAGGUUGUUACGCAAAAGUGUACUUGGCCGAAUAUAAGCCAGAACAUGAAUCGGAUCGAAAUAGCAUCCUGGCCUGUAAGAUUGUCGAUACUGCGAUCGCAUCGAAGGACGUCGUUCGAAAAUUUCUACCGCGUGAAUUGGAUAUUCUGGUCAAGCUGAAUCACCCGCACGUCGUGCACGUGCAUAGUAUCUUUCAAAGACAUACCAAGUACUUCAUAUUCAUGCGUUUCGCCGAAAAUGGUGAUCUUCUCGACUUUGUACUGAAGAAUGGUGCGGUGUCUGAGAAUCAAGCCCGCAUCUGGUUCCGGCAGCUCGCUUUAGGCCUUCAGUAUUUACAUGAGAUGGAGAUAGCGCAUCGCGAUAUCAAAUGCGAGAACAUUCUCCUGACAGCCAACUACAAUGUAAAACUGGCAGAUUUCGGCUUCGCGCGUUACAUGAUCGACAGUCGCGGUAAGCGCGUUCUGAGUGACACGUAUUGCGGUUCGCUGUCGUACGUGGCACCGGAGGUCCUACGCGCCUAUCCAUACAACCCCAAGAUAUCCGAUAUAUGGUCGUUGGGCGUGAUUCUUUACAUAUUGUUAAACAAGGCCAUGCCGUUUGACGAGGAUAAUAUAAAGCGUCUGUACGAGUUGCAGAUAGCGCGCAAAUGGAAAUUCCGCAGUAAAGUUAAGGACAGAAUAACCGAUUCCGUAAAGAAACUCGUGAACAAUAUGCUCGAACCAGAUGUAUCUAAACGCUGGCGUCUGGAUCAGAUCGUGCAGAGUGAGUGGAUCGCCAUGGAUCCGCGUCUCCUGGUGCUCACGCCCGCGGAACAGACUGCGCUGAAUUACGCGAUCGAGGAGCGAAAGAGACACGAAGAGAAGUUUGUAAAGAGGGAGCCGGCACGAACAGAGAGUCUCGUACGAUCAUUAUUUUCAAACGUACUUGAUAAGUCCAAAUACCUCUUAAUAUCGCUUCCAUCAUACAUCGCGCUGACAAUGCGUAGGACGCUGCUGGUCAUCUACCUGGCGUACACGCACUUUUUAUCGCAUAUUCAAUUGCAAGAUUAAUUGAACUUGGCAAUGCAAUUGACAUCAAACGUAUAGAUUCGAUUAUGUUUAGCAAAUCAAAUCUAUUUAAUUAAGAAGAAUAUAUAGAUAGCGAGUAAUGUCACGCGAGAUUACGAGUGACCGAUUUUCAGAAACGACUCGAGGAGAAAAGGAGGAUCCAUAAUCCCAGAUCGCAUGCGGCAGAGGAAGUAACGAUUCUUAAAGACGCCGCAAAAGCGGCAGUUUCGACGAUUAUAACAACCGGAG